RNAcentral lists this ribosomal RNA (492 nucleotides) under uncultured bacterium. RNAcentral's name for it is "partial 16S ribosomal RNA". It matches the Rfam family "Bacterial small subunit ribosomal RNA", at positions 29 to 507 of the family's 1533-position model. The record is from RNAcentral.
AGUGAACGCUGGCGGUAGGCCUAACACAUGCAAGUCGAACGGCAGCACAGUAAGAGCUUGCUCUUACGGGUGGCGAGUGGCGGACGGGUGAGGAAUACAUCGGAAUCUACUUUUUCGUGGGGGAUAACGUAGGGAAACUUACGCUAAUACCGCAUACGACCUACGGGUGGAAGCAGGGGAUCUUCGGACCUUGCGCGAUUGAAUGAGCCGAUGUCGGAUUAGCUAGUUGGCGGGGUAAAGGCCCACCAAGGCGACGAUCCGUAGCUGGUCUGAGAGGAUGAUCAGCCACACUGGAACUGAGACACGGUCCAGACUCCUACGGGAGGCAGCAGUGGGGAAUAUUGGACAAUGGGCGCAAGCCUGAUCCAGCCAUACCGCGUGGGUGAAGAAGGCCUUCGGGUUGUAAAGCCCUUUUGUUGGGAAAGAAAAGCAGCAGGUUAAUACCACGCUGUUCUGACGGUACCCAAAGAAUAAGCACCGGCUAACUUCGUG